UGUAAACAACAAUAUUUCACUGAUCAAACACACAAUAUGCAAUAAUAUAUCGUAAACAACAAUAUUUCACUGUAAAAAUACACUCUAAUGUCGCAAAUUAACAAAACAAACAACAUCUUCUAGUUUCUUAGAACACAAUUUCUUCUAGUAGACUGAAACACAAGCAUUAAAACAUAAAGUUAAAACAAACAAUCCAUCAUAAUUCCGCACACCCAAAAGUUAUAACAACCCAUCAUUGUUAACCAUCUUCAUGCCUUGCAUAAGUGAGAUAUCUUCAAGAAUUCCAAACCCUACAAAAACAAUGAUGCCUUGCUAAAUGAUACUAUAAGAAUAUGAUCUUACCAAUAAGAAUAAACGAAGUUUAGGAUCUUACCCAUACACCAACAAAAUAAUGUUACAUUCCAACUAGCCUGAAUAACCGAAUAUCAUAGCCUGAAAUUAAAAAACAAAAAGUAAGACUAUAUAUAAAAUUCAUAAAAUUUUACAACCUAAUAAAUAAUUUAUAAACAUGUAAUAUGUUAUACUUACAUUGGCCUUAUUUAUACAUUGAACUCAAUCCGCAACCAAUUUGAAGCACAAAGAAGACCUUCUACCGUGUCAUCACCUAAUGAAGCUCUGUCAUCACUAAUAACUCGACGUCCGGCACUGAAAGCUGCCUCAGAUGGUACAGUAGUCACAGGAAUAGAGAGAAUAUCACGAGCCAUUUUUGACAAAGUGGGAAACUUCAGGGUAUUUGAUUUCCACCAUGCCAAAACAUCAAACUCUUUACCUCCACCUACUAAAGCACUUUCUUCAAGAUAAAUGUCUAUCUCCUUUCUACUUGGUUGAGCAGUACUUCUUGUCUUGAGCCAAUUUUCGAACUCAACUCUUUCUCUAUCAUCCUCGUUCCUAGGAAGACCCCCACCACCAUCUUGACCAAUGUUACUAUUCCCACCAUUUGUUCCCAUAGCAACGUAGUCAUCAUAAAGGUUAUGCAAUUCGGCUCUAAUGUAUUGCAGUUUUGUCUCCACUUCCUCUAAUCCAUAUAGCUUUUCAAAUACAUACUCAAUAUGCAUCAUUUUAUUUCGAGGAUCCAAAACAGCAGCUAUUACCAUCAAAAGACUACUCUCAUUCCAAUACUUGUCAAACUUUUCUUUCAUCCUUUGAACCAUAACCUUCAUGAAUUCUCUUUGGUCAUUAGCCAUAUCAUCCAAGAGUUUUCUUAUUUUCCAAACUUGAGGAAAAAAUAAAUUUGAAGUUGUGUAGUCACGACCUGAGAAAAUGUCAGUUACUUUAUCAAAAAUAGCUAGAAACUUGCACACAUCGCUCGCUAUUUUCCAAUCAUCAUCAGAUGGCAACCAACAAUAUGAAGUGUCUCUCAUUGCAUAUCUAGGAAAAGCAUCUUUGAAGAGAAUCGCUCUAUCCAACAUAUAAAAUGUCGAAUUCCAUCGGGUGACACAAUCAAGAAUCAAAGUCUUAUCAGUGGGCAAAGACAUAUUCUUGACAACUUCAUUGAACUUAUGAAGACGCGAAGGGGUCAAAGUGAUGAACUUUACACUUUCACGAACAUUCUCAAUAACACUUUUAAUUGGACUCAACCCAUCCUGCACCAUAAGAUUCAAGAUAUGUGCACAACACCUAACAUGAAAUAUCUUCCCACCAAAGUAAAGUGCAUUUCUACCUUGAAAUUGUUCUUUCAAAGAUCUAACAGCCGCAUCAUUUGAAGAAGCAUUAUCAAACGUAAUAGUGGAAAUCUUGUUUUCAAUUCCCCAAUCAGAAAGACAUUCAAAGAUUUUAUCAGCAAUAGCAAGUCCAGUGUGUGGUGGUGGCAACAAACAAAAGUUUAAUAUGCGAUUUUGCAAAUUCCACUCAUUAUCUAAAAAGUGUCCAGUCACACACAUGUAUCCUUUAGUUUGGUUAGAAGUCCAUAAGUCGGAUGUUAAGCUAAUCCUACCAACACCAUUAAACAUCACCUUCAUUUUUAUUUUCUCUUCCGCGUAUAAUUUCAUGGCAUGGUCUCUAAUAGAUUGGCGACCAAAAGGCUCAUAUUUGGGGUUAAGCAUCUUACUAUAGAUUCUAAACAUCUUAUGUUCAACCAUUCUAAAAGGAUACUCAUGAACCAUGAUCAUCUUAGCUGUGAUAUCUUUUAUGGCUUCUUUGUCGUACUUGUAAGUUGUCAAAGAACCAGUUUCUCCACAAGACUCAAAACUUAAAAGUGACUGACCUGGACCAUUACCUUUACCAGAGAUUUUAGCUUUGCGACUUAAGCAUGUAUCUACAUGCCUUUUAAAGCUUGAAGUUGGCCCCCCCUUAGUAUAGAUAAAAUGUCGGAAACAAUGUUUGCAUUUCACACCCGUCGUCUUGCCGUCUUGAUCUACAACCUCUUCAACAUCAAUCCAUACACCGGAUGUCUUUGCUCGUUUGUGUGCUCUAGAUGGUUGUAUUGUUUCUUCUUGAGUUGAAGCUUGCAAGUUGACUUGUUCAUUUUCCAUAUUCGCAGGAGUUGCAGAAGAAGCUUCUAAAUCUAUUGGAUGCUCUUGAUUUGAUGUCGACAUAACCUGACAAAAAAAAUAUAUAUAUUAUACAACAUUUUAAUCAAACCAAACUGUUGCACAAGACAUGAAAUAAUCUAAUAA
RNAcentral lists this long non-coding RNA (2615 nucleotides) under Aquilegia coerulea. RNAcentral's name for it is "long non-coding RNA (ACOE_LNC000641)". The record is from RNAcentral. Lineage: Eukaryota; Viridiplantae; Streptophyta; Magnoliopsida; Ranunculales; Ranunculaceae.